AUGAGGACUCGCACACUGCAAAGAACUGUACAUUAUUUCUGGCAAUGCCUCUCCAUUUCGUGGCAAAUGUGUCUGACAGCCAGUACUGUGAACUCAACGAGUCACCGUAGCUCAUAUGGACCUUUUGCCAAUAAGAUUAUAGGGUGGAUGCAUGCUUUGAUUUCCAGUGAACCUGCUCUUCAAAGUCUCCAUAGCAGCUUGCUGUCUUGUUUUCAAUCACUUCAUUUCAUCUGGUUGGACAGGGCUGCCCUUGAGAAGAAACGUACCAGAUCGGAUGGCCUUGACAAGCUUAUGAUGUCGCAGACGUAG
This 309-nucleotide ribosomal RNA is filed under the name Triticum aestivum (bread wheat). RNAcentral describes it as "partial small subunit ribosomal RNA". The record is from RNAcentral. Lineage: Eukaryota; Viridiplantae; Streptophyta; Magnoliopsida; Poales; Poaceae.